AUCAAAAAUAUCAAACUGGGGAGUGAGUAUAUAAAUACUCAGUGAGUGGAGUAGAGAGUACUAUGCACAUGAGACAAGAUAUAAUCAUGGCUCGAGGUAAAAUCUCAAGAGCAUAUGAGCAGUCGUCAAGAACAGGGUACACAUAACUCAACAUAAGAAAUAAGGAGUAAAUCAUCACAAUCCCAAUCAACUCAUCUGGAGCAUAUAUAGAAUAAUCAAAUAAGUAUGUAUGAUAACGUGAAUAUGCUCAACAGGUCAUAGUAUUGAAUCAUAUAAAUCAGGUGUCAAUAGGCUGAAUCAUCAACAAGACAGCUAUCGGGAGGUGGGUUUUACGCCCCAGGCGAACCAGCAACAACUUCCCACUGUCACA
This 370-nucleotide long non-coding RNA is filed under the name Phoenix dactylifera (date palm). RNAcentral's name for it is "long non-coding RNA (PDAC_LNC012827)". The record is from RNAcentral. Lineage: Eukaryota; Viridiplantae; Streptophyta; Magnoliopsida; Arecales; Arecaceae.